Molecule: non-coding RNA, 406 nt
Organism: Pelobates cultripes (western spadefoot toad)
Lineage: Eukaryota; Metazoa; Chordata; Amphibia; Anura; Pelobatidae
Source: the annotation of a GenBank genome assembly
CACGUUCUGAUCAAAACAAAACGUAAACAAAAACUGGAAUUUGCGCUAUAUGUCUGUUCAACCGUAAUUCACCGCUGUCACAUUAAGUGCACCCACACUUAUUAUAUAUCAUUUUGUUCAGGAGAAACAGGGCUUUAAUUUAUCAUUAACUAUUCAUAUAUGGAACAUAAUUUAUUAUGAAUAAAAUUUAAAAAAAUGUGACAAAAUAAGAUUUUUAUUUUUUUUAAUUUGUAUUUCCGUCUGACAUUUUAGCUGUUAAUGUCAUAAUACUGUUUUACUGCAAAAAAAUGCACAUAUUUGUAAUCAGCGAUGUCUCACGAGUACAACAGUACCCCCCAUUAACAGGUUUUAUGGUGUUUUGGAAAGUCACAGGGUCAAAUAUAGAACGUUCCAUUUCAAAUUUAAA